RNAcentral lists this ribosomal RNA (369 nucleotides) under uncultured bacterium. RNAcentral describes it as "bacterial SSU rRNA". It matches the Rfam family "Bacterial small subunit ribosomal RNA", at positions 434 to 793 of the family's 1533-position model. The record is from RNAcentral.
CAGCAGUGAGGAAGGCGGAGUCGUUAAUAGCGGCCUCGUUUGACGUUAGCUGCAGAAGAAGCACCGGCUAACUCCGUGCCAGCAGCCGCGGUAAUACGGAGGGUGCGAGCGUUAAUCGGAAUUACUGGGCGUAAAGCGCAUGCAGGUGGUUUGUUAAGUUCAGAUGUGAAAGACCCGGGGCGUCAACCUCGGAAUAGCAUUUGAAACUGGCAGACUAGAGUACUGUAGAGGGGGGUAGGAAUUUCAGGUGUAGCGGUGAAAUGCGUAGAGAUCUGAAGGAAUACCGGUGGCGAAGGCGGCCCCCUCGGACAGAUACUGACACUCAGAUGCGAAAGCGUGGGGAGCAAACAGGAUUAGAUACCCUGGUAG